GCAAGCUAGCUCAGUUGGUUAGAGCAUGGUGCUGAAAACCCCAAGGUUGAAAGUUCAAUCUCCUUAUGGAACAGCUGCA
Podarcis lilfordi (Lilford's wall lizard) is the source of this 79-nucleotide non-coding RNA. The record is from the annotation of a GenBank genome assembly. Lineage: Eukaryota; Metazoa; Chordata; Lepidosauria; Squamata; Lacertidae.